UACGGAGGGUGCAAGCGUUAUCCGGAUUCACUGGGUUUAAAGGGCGCGUAGGCGGCCUUCUAAGUCGAACGUGAAAUCCCCGGGCUCAACCCGGGAACUGCGUCCGAGACUGAAAGGCUUGAAUCCGGGAGAGGGAUGUGGAAUUCCAGGUGUAGCGGUGAAAUGCGUAGAUAUCUGGAGGAACAUCGGUGGCGAAGGCGGCAUCCUGGACCGGUAUUGACGCUGAGGCGCGAAAGCCAGGGGAGCAAACGGG
RNAcentral lists this ribosomal RNA (253 nucleotides) under uncultured bacterium. RNAcentral's name for it is "partial 16S ribosomal RNA". It matches the Rfam family "Bacterial small subunit ribosomal RNA", at positions 524 to 776 of the family's 1533-position model. The record is from RNAcentral.